RNAcentral lists this ribosomal RNA (423 nucleotides) under uncultured bacterium. RNAcentral describes it as "bacterial SSU rRNA". It matches the Rfam family "Bacterial small subunit ribosomal RNA", at positions 355 to 775 of the family's 1533-position model. The record is from RNAcentral.
UAGGGAAUAUUGGGCAAUGGGCGAGAGCCUGACCCAGCCAUGCCGCGUGCAGGAUGAAGGCUUUCUGAGUCGUAAACUGCUUUUGACAGGGAAGAAUAAGCCUUACGUGUAAGGUGAUGACGGUACCUGCAGAAUAAGCACCGGCUAACUCCGUGCCAGCAGCCGCGGUAAUACGGAGGGUGCGAGCGUUGUCCGGAUUUAUUGGGUUUAAAGGGUGCGUAGGCGGCUUUUUAAGUCUGGGGUGAAAGCCCGUUGCUCAACAACGGAACUGCCCUGGAUACUGGAGAGCUUGAGUACAGACGAGGUUGGCGGAAUGGACUGAGUAGCGGUGAAAUGCAUAGAUACAGUCCAGAACCCCGAUUGCGAAGGCAGCUGACUAGGCUGUUACUGACGCUGAGGCACGAAAGCGUGGGGAGCGAACAG